UUCUCUCUCAUUGUUAUUGUUUUACCAUACCCGGAUUUUGACCCGACUACAUAAACUCCUUAAUUAACCUAAUUACUCAUUCGCCUCAUUCAACAAUGCUGCUGUGCAAAACACGAAACUUACGACAUUCUCACAUCAGAUUUUGAAGCUGCAAACAAAAGAUGACCAGGGAUAGAAUUUCGCAGUAGUCAGUGGGACAGUGCACGUCCAGAAAAGUUUUUGACGAAUUAGGUAAGUAUCAAAAAUUUACUUCUUGUUCCGGUUCUAAAGCAUGUCCAGCGUUCUCAUUACUUAGAUUUAUGAUGCUGUAUCAAAAAUAUUAGCAUUUGAGGUGAUAGAUAGGGGGUUGGGUAAUGGUUGAAUACGGGUUCAUGGUGCUGACAUUAGUAUUUGUGGCCCAAAUGUGAACCUACAGCGUGCAGCCCUAAUAUGCACCCACUGUGACCCGUAUUGGACCCCUAAAUUAAAAUUCUAUCAUUCAUUUGCAAGUAGAUGCCUUAAAUGCUUUAAUAUAGUUUGUUUUACCUGUUAAGCCUAAUAACAAUAAACUUCAUGACGCCCCUGCUCCUAGCAAAGCUUACGAGGAGAGCAAAAAUCAGGCCUUAAUUGAUACACCAACGGUGGGUUGUCAGUAAUGAGAUUUCUGAUAUUUAGUUUUGUGUUUGUGAUGUUUUGAUUUUAAGUCAGGGGACUGAUAUUAGCAUGUUGACUUGCAACCGUUUUUUCCAUUUGUGUUUAAGAUGGAAUUUUGCUUCUGGAGGUGAACAGGAUGCUAAGGGCAGGAGGAUACUUUGUCUGGGCUGCGCAGCCUGUUUAUAAACAUGAAAAUAAGCUUCAAGAACAGUGGAAAAGUAAUUAUUUUAAUCCAGCACUAAGCGAAGUUACAAAAUAUGCUUAUUACAAGUUUUAAUAACAUAUAUAUCCUUUGCUUACAUAAGAUAGUGGUUAGAUCAAGUAUCUUACACCUCCAAGUUAUGAAUUUUAAAUUCUUUUAAUCAAUGUUUUUUUAUCUUUUUCCCUGUUUCAAAAUCCAUUUUUUUGAUGAACUCAACUGCAGAAAUGGAGAAUCUUACUAGUCGGUUAUGUUGGGAGCAACCUAAGCAUUCCACGUGGUCGCGGAGAGGACACAUGUCACCCCAUGGUUAAGCCACCUAAGCAUUCCACGUAGAAUCUUCUAUUGGAAAAAAAAAUCUAGAUCAGGAAGAGUGGUCCUUCCGCCUUUGGAAUUCUAGCGCAACCAAAAGGUCAUUUAUGAUGAGGAGGCAAGAUUGAGCAGGUGAACGAUCAAGAGGAAGAAGACGAGGAUGAUGGUUAUGGCGACUUUGUGAAAACUUAUGAUGAUUUAUCACUGCCAUCUUUGAAGCUCUGAUUUAAAUGUGUUUAAAUUGUGCUAAUCGUUCCUUCUGGUGGUGGGCGACUUCGUCAUUCAAGCCACUUAUCCUUCCUACAAGAGGAUGAAGCCAAGGGGUCACAAAAAUAACAAAUAGUUAAAAAAAUAUGUUUGCCGAUUUAAGGAAUCUUGCAAAAUAUACCACUCAUGUUGCUCGUAUGACCCCCUCACUAUUUGUCUGUUAUUCCAUCUAGCUGCUUAAUAAUUUUCAUUGUGACAACUGGUUGACCUCAAACUGGACAAAUCUGUCGCUGGCCACUGCGGAUUGGUUGGGUCUGUUGGUGUUUGUCGCUUCUGCACCCUUGGCUACACCAAACUCAUCCUCUGCGCGCAGUCUGAGUUAGACGUUACCAAAUUUCAAAUCAAUGCAACUUCCAACAAGAUUUAGGUUUAUCACUAAUUGCUAUACAAUUGAGACCAUUAAAGAUGGGAAGCCUCUUCGUGGAGUUUUGUUCUCAAACAACCCAUACUCCAAAAAGUCAGCUGCUAAUGAUUUAAGAAGGAAGAGUUGCAGUUGACAAUGGGAAAAGGUUUUUGAGCAUCUUAUGAAAGAUACCAUAAGAACUCCUGAACACUAGACUUCCAGGUGCCACCUCAGCUACUGCGAAUAUGAAAAUUUAAGCAGCUUCUAACGUGUCUAUCACAUGAGGUGAUGUCAUUACAUUUGGAUAAAAAGUACUCUCGGUCAAUCAAGCUGACUCGAAUCAACCUGAACCCACACAUAAUUACUCUUUUGACCUGUUUCCUAACCUGGCUUUCGGCCCAUCUUUCCUAAAUCGUUAUCUUUCUGUUUAUUGUUUUUCGCCCAGAACUGGCAGCACCGGUGGUGGUGGAGUGAGGAAACAGUCAAACAAAAGAGACACAAGAAGGAUAACUAAAGAUGAAAAUUGACAUGGUAAAAGUCCAUGGGGUUUAUUCUUGCCGUUUGUCCUGGAUUAAAUCAACAAUUGAAAUCAGUGUUUUUUCACAGUAACAGUAUGCUCCUUAUAAGUUGUUAUUUAAAAUUCAAAGUGGCUACUAUUCGAACUAUUGAUGCAGCAUACCAUUAUUCUUUGUGGAUA
Long non-coding RNA from Helianthus annuus (common sunflower), 2451 nucleotides. RefSeq lists it as uncharacterized. The transcript has 7 exons. The record is from RefSeq and is a predicted model, not a curated record. NCBI's taxonomy places the organism in Eukaryota, Viridiplantae, Streptophyta, Magnoliopsida, Asterales, Asteraceae.